GUGAGUCAUCGAAUCUUUGAACGCACAUGGCGCCUUCCAGUAUCCUGGGAGGCAUGCCUGUCCGAGCGUCGUUUCAACCCUCGAGCCCUCGUGGCCCGGCGUUGGGGAUCUGCCACGGCAGGCCCCGAAAUCCAGUGGCGGACCCGUUAGGCCCUUCCUUUGCGUAGUAGCAUCAGCCUCGCAUCGGGAGCCGGCGGGCUCUCCAGCCUCUAAACCCCCCAACAAGCCCGCUCCGGCGGCACCAAGGUUGACCUCGGAUCAGGUAGGAAUACCCGCUGAACUUAAGCAUAUCAAUAAGCGGAGGA
This 305-nucleotide unclassified non-coding RNA is filed under the name Plectosphaerella sp. RNAcentral's name for it is "partial contains 5.8S ribosomal RNA, internal transcribed spacer 2, and large subunit ribosomal RNA". The stretch from base 1 to 71 matches the Rfam family "5.8S ribosomal RNA", at positions 84 to 154 of the family's 154-position model. The record is from RNAcentral. Lineage: Eukaryota; Fungi; Ascomycota; Sordariomycetes; Glomerellales; Plectosphaerellaceae.